RNAcentral lists this ribosomal RNA (387 nucleotides) under Cotesia sp. HD-279. RNAcentral's name for it is "partial 28S ribosomal RNA". The record is from RNAcentral. Lineage: Eukaryota; Metazoa; Arthropoda; Insecta; Hymenoptera; Braconidae.
CGAAUGAGGAGAUUCAUCGUCAGCUUAUUCAGUAUUAAUGCAGGCCAUGAUGUGAUAAUAGAAUCCUUGUGGUCACUAGAUUAUACUUGCUUGUAUUAUUUUUGCUGGGUAUGUCGGCGUGCACUUCUCCUCUAGUAGAACGUCGCAACCCGUUGGAUGUUUAUCUAUGGCUUGAAUGGUAGCCUUUGAUAUUUUUUAUAUUGAAGACCUUCGAUGUCCUGAUAAACUGUUUGACGGUAUACAUAUGGUAUUGAGCCGCAAUUAUUUGCGUUAGACUUGCCGCAAGUAUGACUUUAUUCUAGUAGUGCGGAUCUAAUGCCGUCGCUGGACAAAGUCUGCUGUUAGCUGUGUAAUGUCUUUAACUGGCUUAUUUACCGGUUAGCGAUG